AUGCGAUACUUGGUGUGAAUUGCAGAAUUCAGUGAAUCAUCGAAUCUUUGAACGCACCUUGCGCCCUUUGGUAUUCCGAGGGGCAUGCCUGUUUGAGUGUCAUUAAAUACCAUCAACCCUCUUUUGACUUCGGUCUCGAGAGUGGCUUGGAAGUGGAGGUCUGCUGGAGCCUAACGGAGCCAGCUCCUCUUAAAUGUAUUAGCGGAUUUCCCUUGCGGGAUCGCGUCUCCGAUGUGAUAAUUUCUACGUCGUUGACCAUCUCGGGGCUGACCUAGUCAGUUUCAAUAGGAGUCUGCUUCCAACCGUCUCUUGACCGAGACUAGCGACUUGUGCGCUAACUUUUGACUUGACCUCAAAUCAGGUAGGACUACCCGCUGAACUUAAGCAUAUCAAUAAGCGGAGGA
RNAcentral lists this ribosomal RNA (404 nucleotides) under Schizophyllum sp. BAB-3923. RNAcentral describes it as "eukaryotic LSU rRNA". The stretch from base 1 to 102 matches the Rfam family "5.8S ribosomal RNA", at positions 53 to 154 of the family's 154-position model. The record is from RNAcentral. Lineage: Eukaryota; Fungi; Basidiomycota; Agaricomycetes; Agaricales; Schizophyllaceae.